GGGUCAGUAGCUCAGUCGGUUAGAGCACCGUCUUGAUAAGGCGGGGGUCGUAGGUUCGAUUCCUACCUGACCCACCA
RNAcentral lists this transfer RNA (77 nucleotides) under Zoogloea ramigera. RNAcentral's name for it is "tRNA-Ile". It matches the Rfam family "tRNA". Rfam says of the family: Transfer RNA (tRNA) molecules are approximately 80 nucleotides in length. Their secondary structure includes four short double-helical elements and three loops (D, anti-codon, and T loops). Lineage: Bacteria; Pseudomonadati; Pseudomonadota; Betaproteobacteria; Rhodocyclales; Zoogloeaceae. The record is from RNAcentral. RNAcentral also lists the same sequence under 39 other names.